Molecule: long non-coding RNA, 363 nt
Filed under: Gossypium raimondii (Peruvian cotton)
Lineage: Eukaryota; Viridiplantae; Streptophyta; Magnoliopsida; Malvales; Malvaceae
Description: long non-coding RNA (GRAI_LNC002072)
Source: RNAcentral
UUUGGGGUGUUUUUCUCUCAGAAUUAGGUUGGUUUGUGCGAGGGAACUUGUUUUUGGUCAUAUUUUUGUUACUUUUCUCUGUUUUUUUUGGUUUUGGGAGGCCGAAUAGGCUAUAUACCCUUUCGAGUAUUAUUUUUUUCCUUUUUAUUUGUUUUCUGCUUGACUGAAUAUUUUUGUUUAAUUCCCUUUUCCAAUCGGGUUUUCCCCUUCUGGCCGAUUACUGCAUUUUCUCUCCCUUUCAACACUUUCAGGUUUUGGCUCUUGUUUUCUCAACAUUCGGUCACCUUUUCUCUUCUUUGCCGAAUUUGUGUGUUUCCCUUUUUCUCAAACGAUUCCCCCUUGGAAAAUUACUCUUGUUCUUUG